CAAUAGCGUAUAUUAAAGUUGUUGCAGUUAAAAGCUCGUAGUUGGAUUUCUGGCAGGAGCGACCGGUCGCACGCUAUGCGUGUGAACUUGUGUUGUCUCUGGCCAUCCUUGGGGAGAUCCCGUUUGGCAUUAAGUUGUCGGGCGGGGAUACCCAUCGUUUACUGUGAAAAAUUAGAGUGUUUAAAGCAGGCUUAUGCCGUUGAAUAUAUUAGCAUGGAAUAAUAAGAUAAGACUUUGGCGGUCUAUUUCGUUGGUUUGCACGCCAUUGUAAUGAUUGAUAGGGACAGUUGGGGGGUAUUCAUAUUUAAUUGUCAGAGGUGAAAUUCUUGGAUUUAUGAAAGAUGAACUACUGCGAAAGCAUUUGCCAAGGAUGUUUUCAUUAAUCAAGAACGAAAGUUGGGGGCUCGAAGACGAUUAGAUACCA
RNAcentral lists this ribosomal RNA (424 nucleotides) under uncultured eukaryote. RNAcentral describes it as "bacterial SSU rRNA". It matches the Rfam family "Eukaryotic small subunit ribosomal RNA", at positions 592 to 1017 of the family's 1831-position model. The record is from RNAcentral.